ACUCAAAUGAAUUGACGGGGGCCCGCACAAGCGGCGGAGCAUGCGGAUUAAUUCGAUGCAACGCGAAGAACCUUACCUGGGUUUGACAUCGCCGGUAAUCCCUCAGAGAUGGGGGGUCCUUCGGGGCCGGUGACAGGUGGUGCAUGGCUGUCGUCAGCUCGUGUCGUGAGAUGUUGGGUUAAGUCCCGCAACGAGCGCAACCCUUGUCCGAUGUUGCCAGCGGGUUAUGCCGGGGACUCAUCGGAGACUGCCGGGGUCAACUCGGAGGAAGGUGGGGAUGACGUCAAGUCAUCAUGCCCCUUAUGUCCAGGGCUUCACGCAUGCUACAAUGGCCGGUACAAAGGGCUGCGAUACCGUGAGGUGGAGCGAAUCCCAAAAAGCCGGUCUCAGUUCGGAUCGGGGUCUGCAACUCGACCCCGUGAAGUCGGAGUCGCUAGUAAUCGCAGAUCAGCAACGCUGCGGUGAAUACGUUCCCGGGCCUUGUACACACCGCCCGU
Molecule: ribosomal RNA, 497 nt
Filed under: uncultured bacterium
Lineage: Bacteria
Description: partial 16S ribosomal RNA
Rfam family: Bacterial small subunit ribosomal RNA
Source: RNAcentral